AAGAAGUUAGUUAAAUCAUAUAACAUUAGUAUGUCAUGCUAAAAUUAUUAGUUCUUCUAAUACAUCUUA
Molecule: transfer RNA, 69 nt
Filed under: Yersinia mexicana
Lineage: Eukaryota; Metazoa; Arthropoda; Insecta; Mantodea; Amelidae
Description: tRNA-Asp
Rfam family: tRNA
About the family: Transfer RNA (tRNA) molecules are approximately 80 nucleotides in length.
Source: RNAcentral